UCUUCCCUGCCAUGUUCGACAGGGGCUAAGUUCUCCUACCCAACACCGUUGAAAACGGGAGCUGGUGUUCGUCUGUGGACGGCAUGUCCGUUCUGCCGGAAGUUCCGGAAAGCAGGCGACAGGUUCCCACCUUAUGAAAGUAAGGUCAGGAGAUUCGCUCCACCGGCAUGGCGGGGAUUUU
RNAcentral lists this non-coding RNA (181 nucleotides) under Lentisphaerota bacterium. RNAcentral describes it as "Lentisphaerae bacterium (anaerobic digester metagenome) 6S RNA". It matches the Rfam family "6S / SsrS RNA". From Rfam's summary of the family: E. coli 6S RNA was the first non coding RNA to be sequenced, but its function was unknown until recently. It consists of 184 nucleotides that fold into an extended hairpin structure with a large single-stranded internal bulge. Lineage: Bacteria; Pseudomonadati; Lentisphaerota. The record is from RNAcentral.